GAUUCCCUAGUACUGCGAGUGAAGCGGGGAAAAGCUCAAAUUUAAAAGCCUUCGGGCGUUUGUAAUCUAUAGAAGUGUUUUCGGUCGUUGCCUCGGAUAAGUCUCUUGGAACAGAGUGUCAAAGAGGGUGAGAAUCCCGUUCUUGCCGAGCUACCAACGUCUAUGCGAUACACUUUCAAAGAGUCGAGUUGUUUGGGAAUGCAGCUCAAAAUGGGUGGUAAACUCCAUCUAAAGCUAAAUAUUGGCGAGAGACCGAUAGCGAACAAGUACCGUGAGGGAAAGAUGAAAAGCACUUUGGAAAGAGAGUUAAACAGUACGUGAAAUUGUUAAAAGGGAAACGCUUGGAGUCAGUCGCGUUGCAUGGACUCAGCCUCACGGUGUAUUUCUGUGCAACGGGUCAACAUCAGUUUUGGGCGGGGGAAAAGGGCUUGGGGAAUGUAGCAACCUCGGUUGUGUUAUAGCCCCUUGUCGUACACCUCGCCCGGGACUGAGGUCUGCUUAAAGGAUGUUGACGAAAUGGCUCUAAGCGACCCGUCUUGAAC
Molecule: ribosomal RNA, 542 nt
Filed under: Dacrymyces stillatus
Lineage: Eukaryota; Fungi; Basidiomycota; Dacrymycetes; Dacrymycetales; Dacrymycetaceae
Description: eukaryotic LSU rRNA
Rfam family: Eukaryotic large subunit ribosomal RNA
Source: RNAcentral